UUCGUCACACUAUCAUUAACUGAAUCCAUAGGUUAAUGAGGCGAACCGGGGGAACUGAAACAUCUAAGUACCCCGAGGAAAAGAAAUCAACCGAGAUUCCCCCAGUAGCGGCGAGCGAACGGGGAGCAGCCCAGAGCCUGAAUCAGUGUGUGUGUUAGUGGAAGCGUCUGGAAAGGCGCGCGAUACAGGGUGACAGCCCCGUACACAAAAAUGCACAUACUGUGAGCUCGAUGAGUAGGGCGGGACACGUGGUAUCCUGUCUGAAUAUGGGGGGACCAUCCUCCAAGGCUAAAUACUCCUGACUGACCGAUAGUGAACCAGUACCGUGAGGGAAAGGCGAAAAGAACCCCGGCGAGGGGAGUGAAAAAGAACCUGAAACCGUGU
This 384-nucleotide ribosomal RNA is filed under the name Escherichia coli. RNAcentral's name for it is "partial 23S ribosomal RNA". It matches the Rfam family "Bacterial large subunit ribosomal RNA", at positions 139 to 561 of the family's 2925-position model. The record is from RNAcentral. Lineage: Bacteria; Pseudomonadati; Pseudomonadota; Gammaproteobacteria; Enterobacterales; Enterobacteriaceae.